AAAAUAAAACAAAAUUAAAAAAAGAGAAAAAAAAAUUGUAUAACCAAUAAAAAAACUAAAUUAUUAAAAAGUGUAAAAAAAAGAAGAAACAAGUUUAUUUAAAAAGUGGCUUUUAAGGAAAGCUUUAAAGUAUUAUAUAAUUUGCUAAUUGUUUCAGUUUUGGCUAAGAUUGAGCACAAACCAAGAAAAAUUAAACGAUUUGAAAGAAAUUUAAUAUUGUUGUCAGAUAUCGACAUAUACUCCAAAUUUCAACAUAUUUCAGUUACAGGAAGUGGUUUAAAAACUCAGAAAUAAUUUACGACAACAUACUAACAUAACUCCGAAUUUCCGAACUUAAUUCCUACUUAAUUUAAAGGAUAAAAUUAGUAGAAAAUUCUUAUAUGAUUAGUUCUCCCAACACAAUACUUCAUAGGAGAAAUUUUAAGUGAAAAGAAACUUUGAAAGAGCAGGUGGCUCUAAUUUUUUUGUAAGACAGCAAUUGAUGUGUGAUUAUUUUGAUGAUCAUCUUGAUCAGUAUUUGCUUUUUUAAUAUAUUGGUGAAGAUAUGGAAGUGUAAAUGAUAAUUGAAUGUCAAAUUGAUCACAAAUUGUGUAACGAGCAUAACAAACAUUUCUUGUAAAAAUAAAAUAUUGAGAAUAAUACAUUCAUACAAAAUGAAGUACUAUCCAGCUCUCUACUUAUAAUCUAAAUUUCUGACAAAAACAUCUCAAAUA
Long non-coding RNA from Lucilia sericata (common green bottle fly), 713 nucleotides. RefSeq lists it as uncharacterized. NCBI's taxonomy places the organism in Eukaryota, Metazoa, Arthropoda, Insecta, Diptera, Calliphoridae. The transcript is spliced from 3 exons. The record is from RefSeq and is a predicted model, not a curated record.